CUCCCCUGAAUUCAUUUGCUGUGGCAAAUAUGGCUUCCUUAAAAUCUGCUGUUUAUGAAAAUACAGGACACAACAAAAAGACAGCUGUCUGCAAGUCAUGAAGACAGCCAUUACCAGGAACCAAACUGAAUGGUACCUUGAUCUUGUGCUUUUCGGUCUCGAGAGCUGUGAGAAACAAAUGCCUGCUGUUCAAAUUGUCCAGCCUAUGGUAUUUUGUUACGGCAGUCUGAGCUGACCAAGAUAACCGGAAACCUAGAAAAAAAACUGAGAGACUAGAUAACACAUGCUCCAGAAAAAAAAGUACUUGAUCCAGAAAAAGUUGAGGAAGGAGAUAUCUUUUUCAGUUGUGCGUCAAUUUCAGUAUGUUGCCUGCAAUAACAAAUAAAUAAUUGAUGAACUAAAUGGACGUUAUGUCAUAUAAACUCUUAAUAAGAACACCUAUGAAUAUUUAUGAAGAGCAUAAUUUUACAGAGGAACACCCAAGUAAUGGUCACAGGAAUUGAAGAGCUUGCAAGGGUCAAGCGCUAAUCAGUGAUGGAACUUGGUUUUAAACUCCAUUAUUUCCUGCAGCAGAGUCUACAUCCUCAAAUGUUUCACCAUGCCAUCUACAGUCUGAUGUGCUUUCCAGAUUUCUCACCAUUCCACUUGAUCUCCUUUAAAUGACUUUGAUUUGAGAGUGUGCAUCUUCAAAUAUAGUGCUCAGAACUGGAUGCAAUGCUCACAAUAUCAUGUGACCAGCACUAAGUCGAUACAAGUUUAUUCCUUUGAAUUUGUCCUGGCGUUUGACAAGGAUAUUGUGGAUAUUAAAGAUAUUUAUUUCACAA
Long non-coding RNA from Homo sapiens (human), 824 nucleotides. Ensembl annotates it as long intergenic non-protein coding RNA 1216. NCBI's taxonomy places the organism in Eukaryota, Metazoa, Chordata, Mammalia, Primates, Hominidae. The record is from Ensembl.